Setaria italica (foxtail millet) is the source of this 459-nucleotide long non-coding RNA. RefSeq lists it as uncharacterized. The transcript has 2 exons. Lineage: Eukaryota; Viridiplantae; Streptophyta; Magnoliopsida; Poales; Poaceae. The record is from RefSeq and is a predicted model, not a curated record.
AACCCCACCCCCUCCCCUCCGGAUCGAAUCCUCCACGACUCCAUGACGCGGGGAGAGCUAGCGGCGCGGGGGAGAGCUGGCGGCGCGCGAGGUGACGAGGCGGCGGCGCGAGGUGACGGCGUGGCGGCGCGGCGGACCCCGACGGCGACCCUCUCCGCCGUCUUCUCACCGGUGAUGUUGAGGCCAAGCCUCGUGCAUGUGGUGUCCUUAUCAUGCCUGGUGUGAUCUGCAGUCAUUUGAGAUGUAAUUUCUUCUACUUUCUGGUUUGAGUCCUUGCAGCUACCAUUCAGAGAGAGGUGUUGUGUUUCAAAACCGCACUCCAGUGGUCCUAGCUCGCUGUGGCAGCCGUAUGACAGUGCCUGGGUACUCCAGUACUCCUAGCUCACUUUGUUUGCUACUGUUCUAUUUCUGGUAUUCCGUAUGUUUGCCUGACGCUCUGUAUGUUCUGCUUUGGUACUC